CCUACGGGGGGCAGCAGUGGGGAAUAUUGCACAAUGGGGGAAACCCUGAUGCAGCGACGCCGCGUGAGUGAAGAAGUAAUUCGUUAUGUAAAGCUCUAUCAGCAGGGAAGAAAAUGACGGUACCUGAGUAAGAAGCCCUGGCGAACUACGUGCCAGCAGCCGCGGUAAUACGGAGGGGGCCAGCGUUAUCCGGAUUUACGGGGUGUAAAGGGAGUGUAGACGGCAGUGCAAGUCUGGAGUGAAAGGCGGGGGCUCAACCCCCGGACUGCGCUGGAAACUGUACGGCUGGAGUGCAGGAGAGGUAAGUGGAAUUCGUAGUGUAGCGGUGAAAUGCGUAGAUAUUAGGAAGAACACCAGUGGCGAAGGCAGCUUACCGGACUGUAACUGACGUUGAGGCUCGAAAGCGUGGGGAGCAAACAGGAUUAGAUACCCUUGUAGUC
Molecule: ribosomal RNA, 440 nt
Filed under: uncultured bacterium
Lineage: Bacteria
Description: partial 16S ribosomal RNA
Rfam family: Bacterial small subunit ribosomal RNA
Source: RNAcentral